GACGUAGGGCGCGAGCGUUGUCCGGAUUUAUUGGGCGUAAAGAGCUCGUAGGCGGCUUGUUGCGUCAGCUGUGAAAACCCGCAGCUCAACUGUGGGCUUGCAGCUGAUACGGGCAGGCUUGAGUUCGGUAGGGGAGACUGGAAUUCCUGGUGUAGCGGUGAAAUGCGUAGAUAUCGAGAGGAACACCUGCGGCGAAGGCGGGUUGCUGGGCUGACACUGACGCUGAUGCGCGAAAGCCAGGGGAGCGAACGGG
This 253-nucleotide ribosomal RNA is filed under the name uncultured bacterium. RNAcentral's name for it is "partial 16S ribosomal RNA". It matches the Rfam family "Bacterial small subunit ribosomal RNA", at positions 524 to 776 of the family's 1533-position model. The record is from RNAcentral.